CUUAGUGGCGAACGGGUGAGUAACGCGUGAGUAACCUGCCCUGGAGUGGGGGACAACAGUUGGAAACGACUGCUAAUACCGCAUAAGCCCACGAUCCGGCAUCGGAUUGAGGGAAAAGGAUUUAUUCGCUUCAGGAUGGACUCGCGUCCAAUUAGCUAGUUGGUGAGGUAACGGCCCACCAAGGCGACGAUUGGUAGCCGGACUGAGAGGUUGAACGGCCACAUUGGGACUGAGACACGGCCCAGACUCCUACGGGAGGCAGCAUG
RNAcentral lists this ribosomal RNA (266 nucleotides) under uncultured bacterium. RNAcentral's name for it is "partial 16S ribosomal RNA". It matches the Rfam family "Bacterial small subunit ribosomal RNA", at positions 91 to 353 of the family's 1533-position model. The record is from RNAcentral.